Molecule: long non-coding RNA, 1167 nt
Organism: Glycine soja
Lineage: Eukaryota; Viridiplantae; Streptophyta; Magnoliopsida; Fabales; Fabaceae
Exons: 2
Source: RefSeq, a predicted model, not a curated record
UAUGGGAGGUGAGUACAACUAACUGAUCCAAUAUUGGAUGGAUUCAUGGUGUGCUGUAAAGUGAAGCGGAUUGAGUCGAGUUUCCUUCAAUCAUUCUAUUCUCUUUCUACGUGACGUGUCCCACCAUCUCUCUCUCUCUCUCUAUAUAUAUAUAUGAUAUCAUUUCAUUUUUUACAACUUACGUAUAAUACUACUAGUUUGUGACCCAUUUCUGGACAAAGACACAUCUUUGAAUUUCAUUGGAUUCAAUUCAUUUGGGUAUCAAUCAAGAUUGAAUUGUUGUUGUCGUCGUCUUUGGGGAUGGGAUCGUGCCUGUAGAUGACGGGGGCACGGGUGUGACGUUGCUGAAGCAGGGACAUGACCUUGUUAUUGCGAAUGUAGAUGACUCCAGAGCUGUAUUAGCUACCCAAGAUCGUAGCAAUGGUUCUCUUAUUGCUGUCCAGUUGAGCACUGACCACAAGCCACAUCUUCCAAGGGAAGCAGAGAGGAUAAGGAUUUGUAAAGGAAGGGUCUUCGCCAUUAAGAACGAACCAGGGAUUGCUCGAGUAUGGCUCCCCAACAUUGAUUCCCCUGGCCUUGCCAUGUCACGUGCUUUUGGAGAUUUUUGUCUCAAGGACUUUGGAGUCAUCUCUGCUCCUGAUUUCUCAUAUCACCGCCUCACUCAAAGGGAUCAAUUUGUUGUCUUAGCCACAGAUGGGGUAUGUGAUGUUUUAUCAAACGAAGAUGCUGUGACCAUUGUGGCAUCUGCUCCACGCUACUUAGACUCCAACCUCAACAAAACCACCAAUAGCCUCCUCCUCCUCACUUCACUAAUUUGACAAUUACACUCACAUCCCCCUCAGGCUUAACAACAUUGUAUAUACUUUCUGUUAACACAUAUGUCACUUAAUGGAGAGAUGUAGUCUUGUAAAAAGAAAAGGAAUAUCCACAUUCCUUUAAUAACAUUGUAUAUACUUUCUUUCUUCCUUUCUCCUUUUAGCUGGAGGUCAUUUUCUUCUCUGUAUAUCUGGUACAUGUGGACUUCUGUAAAUUCAAGUCUCUAGAUUAUAUCAUGUAGUGUAUUAUCCAGUGGGUUGCUUGAAACAGGAAAAUUGAAAGAUUAAGUACUUGUUUGUUAUGAACGCUUGUUCUGUUUAUUAUCAAAUUUUAUUGUGAAUUCAACGUUGA